CUAGUGAAUUCUUGAGUAUGCUUAGUAAGCUUGUGUAUGCUGUCUGGCCACUGCUCCAGUGGUGUCAAGCAUUUUAUGGCAUCUAUUGUACAAUUGCUUGGCUUUUGCAAUGUUUGAUGUUCCAGAGAACAUAUCUUUGCUAACUUAAAUGUACCACAUGUGGCUUUGAUUAUUUCGGGGGAUCAUGUAUACAAUUGCUCACCAUUUCGUUCUUAUUUCUUGCUGUUUCAAAUGGCUGGUGCAUAGAGGCUUUUCUUUCUGUUUUUCCUUAUCUAUGCUAACUGAAAUUACUGGAGAUACAAAAAGGGUUAGCUGGCAAGCAUGAACUGUACAUCUUCCCCGACCUUCAGUUCUGAUUGUUUACUGCUUUUGAAGUUUUCCUAGUUAUGUUUAUGUCUCUUGAUGCACCCUGUUUUGAUCAGCUUCCUGGUUAUUUUAUUGCAUGCAAUUCCAUGCCUACAUCCAGCAUUGGGGUUCUCACUGGUGUAACUUGGAGUGGAGCUGGGUUUCCCAGUAACCCAGUUACAACCAAAACAUUUCUAGGUAUUACUCAACUAGAUUUUGAGUGCGCCCAGAUUACCAUAUUGUGCUUGACAUGUGGCUCUGGGUCAGGUGAAGUUUAAGCUAGUUCUUCCAAAAAAAAAACUCUUGCUCAGGAAUCAUGUGAUUGUGCAGUGGAGUUUCAAACAUUAAACAUCCUAAUUAGGUGAAUUUUGCAUCAUUUUUUCCUCAGCAAAGGGAUACACAUGUAACAGACAACAUGCUUAUCAAGAAACUUAUGUGGCUUUAAUUAUUUCAGGUAACAACAUACAUUCCUGGCCACUGGAAUGGGAGAGAAGGGGUCAGAUGAAGUAGUGGUGAGAUGGGGCACAGGCAAGGAAUUGAGCUCUUGAACUUAGGCGGUGCUGUGAUGCCGGCAUGCCCGAGAGCAAGGCUGGGCAUAGGGGAUGUUUUUUGAGUUUCUUCAGUUCUUGCAUAAUUCUGAAUCCCGCAUGAAUGUGAUGGCCACUGGGGUCCAUAUUUGAUUGUAGAAAUUUAGGGUUCAAUUUUGCUAAAGAUCACUGGGGCAUUCAUUUCAUAUAGAGGGCAUGUUUACUCUGCAUUAUCAACAUAGUAAAAAUCUAUAGUGUUUAAUCAUACCAAAAUCAUCGCAUUGUCUUAGAGUAAUACUAUUGAUACAUAAAAGUUUUUGGUUCCUUGUAUUUUGUUUACUCCUAUCAAUCUUGAUCAUUUGCUUGUCAGUUAAAAUUCAAAUGGCAACCCUGAAUGUGCAGAUAACUCCAUUGAUCUGUUGCUUGCAUAUCCUAAAUGUUUUGCAGACCUGACGAGUGCACAUGAACUCCUUUUUCCCCCCUUUCAUUCCGAAACCAAAUGUUUGUUUGACAUGAAUUCCACAAACAUGGCAAAGUUGCUAUUUUGUGUGACCAGUGAUGCAAUCGCCUAUGAUGAUGAACUGAGAUGAUGAUCAGUCAGUCCUUUCAAUGUGGGCUUCAGCUUUGAUCUUCAUGCUUCUGAAUGUUGGUGCAUUUGCAGUGGUAUAAUGAGGAAAAAGACAAGCUUAUGGUAUGAAUAUUGGACCAGCCCUGGAUAAAUUUCGUUAAUUGUCAUCUAGUUGGUUCAUGAAAUGGCUUGAAGUUCUCAGAAUGCUUUAGGUGUGAACCUCUGACCUCAAUUCCAAAUCAGGGAGCACCAUCCACAAUGAUAGUGGUCACCCGGGUAAAGAUCAAUGUGGAGCUGAGGUCAUCAUUUCAAGGUGAUUACCCAAACAAGCCCAUUGUUGAUUUUUGACAGAGCUCAGUACGAAGGUCUGCCCUUUUUUCUUUCUUUUUUAGAAUGGUUCGCUUGAGCUUUUCGAGAUGAAAGUAAUGGCCAUGAAUAGCAAUAUAUCAGCCUCAUGUUCUCCUUCCGUUCCAAAUUGUAAGCUGUUUUGGUAUUAUCAAGAUACACACUGUCUAGAUAUAUAAUUUUAAUUAUUUAUCUAGAAAAGUCAAUAACCUACAAUUUGAAACA
Molecule: long non-coding RNA, 2010 nt
Organism: Panicum virgatum (switchgrass)
Lineage: Eukaryota; Viridiplantae; Streptophyta; Magnoliopsida; Poales; Poaceae
Exons: 3
Source: RefSeq, a predicted model, not a curated record